AGCCCAGUGGUUAAGACGCCAAGCUGACAACCGGAAAGUCACAAGAUCGA
This 50-nucleotide transfer RNA is filed under the name Oxyrrhis marina. RNAcentral describes it as "partial tRNA". Lineage: Eukaryota; Dinophyceae; Oxyrrhinales; Oxyrrhinaceae. The record is from RNAcentral.